GACGAACGCUGGCGGCGUGCUUAACACGUGCAAUUCGAACGAUGAAGCCGGAGCUUGCUCCGGUGGAUUAGUGGCAAACGGGUGAGUAACACGUGAGCAAUCUGCCCUUGACUCUGGGAUAACUGCGGGAAACUGUAGCUAAUACCGGAUACGACACCUUGGAGCAUCCCAGGGUGUGGACAGAAUUUCGGCAAAGGAUGAACUCGAGGCCUAUCAGCUAGUUGGUGAGGUAAUGGCUCACCAAGGAUACGACGGGUAGCCGGCCUGAGAGGGUGACCGGCCACACUGGAACUGAAACACGGUCCAGACUCCUACGGGAGGCAGCAGUGGGGAAUAUUGCACAAUGGGCGAAAGCCUGAUGCAGCAACGCCGCGUGAGGGAUGAAGGCCUCCGGGUUGUAAACCUCUUUUAGCAGGGAAGAAGCGAAAGUGACGGUACCUGCAGAAAAAGCACCGGCUAACUACGUGCCAGCAGCCGCCGUAA
Molecule: ribosomal RNA, 483 nt
Filed under: uncultured bacterium
Lineage: Bacteria
Description: partial 16S ribosomal RNA
Rfam family: Bacterial small subunit ribosomal RNA
Source: RNAcentral